AGAGUUUGAUCCUGGCUCAGAAUGAACGCUGGCGGCGUGCCUAACACAUGCAAGUCGCACGAGAAAGGGUCCUUCGGGGCCUGAGUAAAGUGGCGAACGGGUGAGUAACACGUGGGUAACCUAUCCUCGAGAGUGGGAUAACCUGGCGAAAGCCGGGCUAAUACCGCAUAACGUCCAUGCAUCCUGUGCAUGGACCAAAGGUGGCGAGCUUCGAGCGCUGCCACUCGAGAGCGGACCCGCGUCCCAUUAGCUUGUUGGUGGGGUAACGGCCUACCAAGGCUACGAUGGGUAGUCGGGCUGAGAGGCUGUCCGGCCACACUGGAACUGAGACACGGCCCAGACUCCUACGGGAGGCAGCAGUGGGGAAUAUUGGACAAUGGGCGAAAGCCUGAUCCAGCAAUACCGCGUGUGUGAAGAAGGCCUGAGGGUUGUAAAGCACUUUCAAUAGCGACGAAAUGCCUAAAGUUAAUAACUUUGGGUCUUGACUAAACUAUAGAAGAAGCACCGCUAACU
RNAcentral lists this ribosomal RNA (513 nucleotides) under uncultured bacterium. Its description in RNAcentral is "bacterial SSU rRNA". It matches the Rfam family "Bacterial small subunit ribosomal RNA", at positions 8 to 502 of the family's 1533-position model. The record is from RNAcentral.